RNAcentral lists this ribosomal RNA (253 nucleotides) under uncultured bacterium. RNAcentral's name for it is "partial 16S ribosomal RNA". It matches the Rfam family "Bacterial small subunit ribosomal RNA", at positions 524 to 776 of the family's 1533-position model. The record is from RNAcentral.
UACGUAGGGUGCAAGCGUUGUCCGGAAUUAUUGGGCGUAAAGAGCUUGUAGGCGGUUUGGUAAGUCCGCUGUGAAAGUCGGGGGCUCAACCCUCGAAUGCCGGUGGAUACUGUCGAACUAGAGUGCGGAAGAGGCGAGUGGAAUUCCUGGUGUAGCGGUGAAAUGCGCAGAUAUCAGGAGGAACACCAAUUGCGAAGGCAGCUCGCUGGGACGUAACUGACGCUGAGACGCGAAAGCGUGGGGAGCAAACAGG